GAGAAUUGUGGAUUGGAAUGGAGCUCCUUCUGUUGCUAAAUCCCUUGUCUGUUGUCUACAAGGCCCUGGCUUCCAUCUUCAGCCAAACAGAAAAGUCGCCAAGAUUGAGAGUCAUCAGGGAGCAGCUCUUUGAGGACUCACCUCUAGAGACCCUCCAGGCAUGGGAAAGGCUCCAAGGGAUAUCUUGGAACAUCAGUCCUGGCAGAGGGAAGAGUCUGUGCAAAGGCCGGAAACGGACCGCUCCCAACGUUCCAGGGAGUCACAUGGACACCAGUACAGAAGAUGCCGUGAGCCAAGGCUCACAGAUGGCUCACCCAAGCUGCGGGCAGGAUGCAGCUGUUUCUUGCUGCGGAGGAUUAUGGGAGCAGGUUUGCAUGGCAAGAAAACUGACUAAUAGAGAUGUGAAGGCUCCAGGAACCCAGGGUCCAACCUCGGCAAGCCUGCCUUCCACUGUAAGGUGCCAGACUCCGCGUGUUGCCUUUGUGACAGAGCACAUCCCCCAGCCACAUUGGUCUUCUGCGGUGGCACAUACAACAACUACAGCCUCCUCAUCACACCAUGGCAGGCUUCUGACACAUCCCCAAACAGAAGAAGCUCUUGGUCCGUCUUCAGUUCCAAGCUUGUUCUGGAUUCAUGUCCCCAGCAAGACACAUCAAGAAGUGCUCCCAGGAAGAACUGUUAACUAAACGGGAGACCGCAGGCUGAAGGGCAGCGGCGGUGUGAGUACAGACCUAGUCCCAAAGAGAGCAUCAGCCAGAUGUACAGGGGAACUCUGGUGCAAUUACAACUUAGCGUUUGUCUGUUUGGAAAGGAAGGAUGCUGGGGCUGUCACCUACACCAGGUAAUCACUGGCUGUGGGUGGAGGAAGCAAAUUCUGGGCAUCUGUUUUGUUUUUCCAAGACAAGAGCUUGGAGAUACACACACACACACAUACACACACACACACACACACACACACACACACACACACAUCCCACGCUGACCUUGAACUCAUGAUCAGGCUAUCCGGGAAAUUUAACUGAAACUCAAGACUGAGAUUCAUUUAGUUAAAUGAAUGAAUUGAUGAAUGACCAGCUGGAGAAGCUGCGCAGAAGGCAGCGUCGUGGUCCAGGCUCGCCCGAAGAGCUGAGUAUCGUUUUCUCCGCUCUGCUCGCGGCCCCCCGCCGGAAUGCAGAGUGCCCUGGAAGGAGGCGGAAAUGAGCGCGCUCCACAGCUCUCCAGCCGAGUGUUUACUUAAUUAGGGCCUGUAUCCUGAGGCUCGUUUGUGUUUAACUGUCUGCCUAAUGGUUUCGUCUGGCUCCGGGCCGGCGCUGGGGGAACUUUGGGGGUGAGGAUAGGUCGAGCCACCCUGUCCCCUCUAGGUUAGAGCAUUGAGCAGCUCCAGCGGGCAGCUAGGAUUUGGCAAGCGUCCCCAGCAGGAGAGCUGGACCACUAAGCUGCCUUGGGCUUUUUCUGCAAGUUGCCACCUCCUCCCACAGUGCUAGGACUGCGCGGAUCACUGAAGACUCCAGAGAUGGCAGAUGCCGGCUGCCCGCAGCGGCGAAAUUGAAGGAUUCUGACACUGCUCAUUCUCUUAGUUGUGGAACUGGGAGCGCUAGCCAGUUCCCUAGCUGGCGAGGCAGAGAAAACUAAAUGAGCCGCAUCCUAGAGUCCUAAUACCGACACCACUGGGCUCUUGCUCAGUGCCAGCUACUGAGUUCAGCGUUUUUAACACGUUCAUCUGUUUAAUCCUCAAGUACACAUCUUCGUUUAAUUCUAAUACAGCCGAGCUCCUCUUCCUACCCCCCCCCUCUGUGUGUGUGUGUGUGUGUGUAAGAGAGAGGGAGAGGGAGAGAUGUGUGUUCAUGAGUAUGAGUAGGGGCCACGUGCAUUGGCCAGAGGACAGUCUCUGAGACAAUACUAUCUUUCACCUUGUUUGAGAUUGGGUCUCUUUGUUUGACACUGUAUGAACCAGGCUGGCUGGCCUGCUGGCUUCCUUCUGCCCUCCCCCCAUCUCUUCAUAGGAGAUCCUUACAGAUGGGCUACUGCCAUCCACAUUCCGUGGAAUCUGGGGACUUGAACUUGGGACUUACCAAAGCACAUUAUCCACUGAGCCUUCUCCUUUAGUCUAGUCCUUUUUUUUUGAAACAAAGACUCACUAUGUAGUGUAGGCUGUCUUUGAACUUGCAGUAAUCAUCUUGCCUCCACACCCCGAGCAGGGAUUAAAGGCACACCCCUCUCCUGGCUCUAGUACAGUACUUUCAGAGGGUAGGUAUCAAAAUAAUCCCAGUGACAGCUGAAUAGCCUCAGUAAGAGGUGGGACCCGAGUCUAAAUCCCACACAGUAAAUCGAGUAGAGCCAAUGCUUGCCUGAUUACAUCAUAAGUUCUACUGCUCAGCCAGAGACUUGGGUAGAAAGGACAGGUAGGUACAGGUUAAUACUUGAAGGCAAACAAAACAAAACAAACAUAAACUUCUAAAGCUGAGCUAGCUGGAGAAAAAGCAUCAUCCUGGGAUUCUCUGGAGAGCAAUGCAAGAUGAGGCGCACUCGGAGAAUGGGGGUGGGGGGAUACGUUGGUUCAGAAGGCUUGUCUCAUCCAGGGCUGAGGCUGCAGCUCAGCAGUGGAGCACUUACUUGCCUGGCAGGUGUGCAAGGUCAUGCGUUCAAUCUCCAGCAUUGCAGAGAGGAGGGGCAGGGGAUGGGGGAGAGAUGCCUUUACAGGGAAAGGGCACGGGGAAUGGGGCCGUUGGAACCUGUGCAUGGGGUGGCAAGUCUUAGUACUAGGUACAAGGUCUUAGUACUAGGAAGGUAGAGGCAGGAGAAUCGGAAGUUCAAGGCCAUCCCAGGUGCAUAGUUUCAGGCCAGCCUGAGACACAUUACACUUUUUUUAAAAAGUCAUCAUUGUUAAGCUGGUCAUUGUGGGUCAUUGUCUUUUAUUCCAGCAGUUAGGAGCCAGAGACAGAAGGUUUGAAUGAAUUCAAGGCCAGCCUGAGACUACAAUGUGAGAGUCUGCCUCAAAAC
RNAcentral lists this long non-coding RNA (3000 nucleotides) under Mus musculus (house mouse). Its description in RNAcentral is "RIKEN cDNA 6030452D12 gene". The record is from RNAcentral. Lineage: Eukaryota; Metazoa; Chordata; Mammalia; Rodentia; Muridae.